GAUGAACGCUGGCGGCGUGCUUAACACAUGCAAGUCGAACGGAAAGGCCCAAGCUUGCUUGGGUGCUCGAGUGGCGAACGGGUGAGUAACACGUGGGUGAUCUGCCCUGCACUUUGGGAUAAGCCUGGGAAACUGGGUCUAAUACCGGAUAGGACCAUCGUUUAGUGUCGGUGGUGGAAAGUUUUUCGGUGUGGGAUGAGCUCGCGGCCUAUCAGCUUGUUGGUGGGGUAAUGGCCUACCAAGGCGUCGACGGGUAGCCGGCCUGAGAGGGUGUACGGCCACAUUGGGACUGAGAUACGGCCCAGACGCCUACGGGAGGCAGCAGUGGGGAAUAUUGCACAAUGGGCGCAAGCCUGAUGCAGCGACGCCGCGUGGGGGAUGACGGCCUUCGGGUUGUAAACUCCUUUCGCCAAGAACGAAGCGUUUUGUGACGGUACUUGGAGAAGAAGCACCGGCUAACUACGUG
This 466-nucleotide ribosomal RNA is filed under the name uncultured bacterium. RNAcentral describes it as "partial 16S ribosomal RNA". It matches the Rfam family "Bacterial small subunit ribosomal RNA", at positions 28 to 507 of the family's 1533-position model. The record is from RNAcentral.